UAACCGAAUAGGGGAGCCGAAGGGAAACCGAGUCUUAACUGGGCGUUAAGUUGCAGGGUAUAGACCCGAAACCCGGUGAUCUAGCCAUGGGCAGGUUGAAGGUUGGGUAACACUAACUGGAGGACCGAACCGACUAAUGUUGAAAAAUUAGCGGAUGACUUGUGGCUGGGGGUGAAAGGCCAAUCAAACCGGGAGAUAGCUGGUUCUCCCCGAAAGCUAUUUAGGUAGCGCCUCGUGAAUUCAUCUCCGGGGGUAGAGCACUGUUUCGGCAAGGGGGUCAUCCCGACUUACCAACCCGAUGCAAACUGCGAAUACCGGAGAAUGUUAUCACGGGAGACACACGGCGGGUGCUAACGUCCGUCGUGAAGAGGGAAACAACCCAGACCGCCAGCUAAGGUCCCAAAGUCAUGGUUAAGUGGGAAACGAUGUGGGAAGGCCCAGACAGCCAGGAUGUUGGCUUAGAAGCAGCCAUCAUUUAAAGAAAGCGUAAUAGCUCACUGGUCGAGUCGGCCUGCGCGGAAGAUGUAACGGGGCUAAACCAUGCACCGAAGCUGCGGCAGCGACGCUUAUGCGUUGUUGGGUAGGGGAGCGUUCUGUAAGCCUGUGAAGGUGUGCUGUGAGGCAUGCUGGAGGUAUCAGAAGUGCGAAUGCUGACAUAAGUAACGAUAAAGCGGGUGAAAAGCCCGCUCGCCGGAAGACCAAGGGUUCCUGUCCAACGUUAAUCGGGGCAGGGUGAGUCGACCCCUAAGGCGAGGCCGAAAGGCGUAGUCGAUGGGAAACAGGUUAAUAUUCCUGUACUUGGUGUUACUGCGAAGGGGGGACGGAGAAGGCUAUGUUGGCCGGGCGACGGUUGUCCCGGUUUAAGCGUGUAGGCUGGUUUUCCAGGCAAAUCCGGAAAAUCAAGGCUGAGGCGUGAUGACGAGGCACUACGGUGCUGAAGCAACAAAUGCCCUGCUUCCAGGAAAAGCCUCUAAGCAUCAGGUAACAUCAAAUCGUACCCCAAACCGACACAGGUGGUCAGGUAGAGAAUACCAAGGCGCUUGAGAGAACUCGGGUGAAGGAACUAGGCAAAAUGGUGCCGUAACUUCGGGAGAAGGCACGCUGAUAUGUAGGUGAAGCGACUUGCUCGUGGAGCUGAAAUCAGUCGAAGAUACCAGCUGGCUGCAACUGUUUAUUAAAAACACAGCACUGUGCAAACACGAAAGUGGACGUAUACGGUGUGACGCCUGCCCGGUGCCGGAAGGUUAAUUGAUGGGGUCAGCGCAAGCGAAGCUCUUGAUCGAAGCCCCGGUAAACGGCGGCCGUAACUAUAACGGUCCUAAGGUAGCGAAAUUCCUUGUCGGGUAAGUUCCGACCUGCACGAAUGGCGUAAUGAUGGCCAGGCUGUCUCCACCCGAGACUCAGUGAAAUUGAACUCGCUGUGAAGAUGCAGUGUACCCGCGGCAAGACGGAAAGACCCCGUGAACCUUUACUAUAGCUUGACACUGAACAUUGAGCCUUGAUG
Molecule: ribosomal RNA, 1504 nt
Filed under: Escherichia coli
Lineage: Bacteria; Pseudomonadati; Pseudomonadota; Gammaproteobacteria; Enterobacterales; Enterobacteriaceae
Description: partial 23S ribosomal RNA
Rfam family: Bacterial large subunit ribosomal RNA
Source: RNAcentral